AAACUAGAAAAAUAUAAAGAAGCAGAAGACAAUAAUGAAGUAGAAGAUGAUUUCGGCGACUGAAGAAGACGACGACGAAUACAAUCAUGACGGUGGAAGCAAACGAUUACGGCGAAGAUUCUGUUNNUUUUUUUAAUUCAAAAAGAUUUGAAAAUAAAUCUUUAUUUUUGGAGUAAAAUAAGAAAAUUCGUUUUUUAUUUUAUUUUAGGAAAAAAAUACUCAAUAAUUUUGUAUGAAAAAAAAAAGUUAUUUCUAG
This 256-nucleotide long non-coding RNA is filed under the name Trifolium pratense (red clover). RNAcentral's name for it is "long non-coding RNA (TPRA_LNC003641)". The record is from RNAcentral. Lineage: Eukaryota; Viridiplantae; Streptophyta; Magnoliopsida; Fabales; Fabaceae.